RNAcentral lists this ribosomal RNA (737 nucleotides) under uncultured bacterium. Its description in RNAcentral is "bacterial SSU rRNA". It matches the Rfam family "Bacterial small subunit ribosomal RNA", at positions 49 to 754 of the family's 1533-position model. The record is from RNAcentral.
CUAUACAUGCAGUCGAACGCAAUCUUUGACUAAUGAGUGCUUGCACUCAGCAGUUAAAGUGCGAGUGGCGAACGGGUGAGUAACACGUGGGCAAUCUGCCCAAAAGUGGGGGAUAACACUUGGAAACAGGUGCUAAUACCGCAUCAACCGGCUGACCGCAUGGUCGGCCGGGCAAAGACGGCGUCAGCUGUCGCUUCUGGAUGAGCCCGCGGCGUAUUAACUAGUUGGUAAGGUAACGGCUUACCAAGGUGAUGAUACGUAGCCGAACUGAGAGGUUGAUCGGCCACAUUGGGACUGAGACACGGCCCAAACUCCUACGGGAGGCAGCAGUAGGGAAUCUUCCACAAUGGACGCAAGUCUGAUGGAGCAACGCCGCGUGUAUGAAGAAGGUCUUCGGAUCGUAAAAUACUGUUGUCAGAGAAGAACACGUGAUAGAGUAACUGCUAUGGCGCUGACGGUAUCUGACCAGCAAGUCACGGCUAACUACGUGCCAGCAGCCGCGGUAAUACGUAGGUGGCAAGCGUUGUCCGGAUUUAUUGGGCGUAAAGGGAACGCAGGUGGUCUUUUAAGUCUGAUGUGAAAGCCUUCGGCUUAACCGGAGAAGUGCAUUGGAAACUGGAAGACUUGAGUGCAGAAGAGGAGAGUGGAACUCCAUGUGUAGCGGUGAAAUGCGUAGAUAUAUGGAAGAACACCAGUGGCGAAAGCGGCUCUCUGGUCUGUAACUGACGCUGAGGUUC